Molecule: non-coding RNA, 27 nt
Filed under: Bombyx mori (domestic silkworm)
Lineage: Eukaryota; Metazoa; Arthropoda; Insecta; Lepidoptera; Bombycidae
Source: RNAcentral
UACAGGUAAACGAUCCGAUGAGACUAU